CCCUUAGAUGUUCGGGGCCGCACGCGCGCUACACUGAAGGACUCAGCGUGUCUCUCCCCCUAUCCCGAAAGGGAUGGGCAACCCGUUGAACCUCCUUCGUGCUAGGGAUUGGGGUUUGCAAUUAUCCCCCAUGAACGAGGAAUUCCCAGUAAGCGCGAGUCAUCAGCUCGCGUUGAUUACGUCCCUGCCCUUUGUACACACCGCCCGUCGCUACUACCGAUUGGGUGUGCUGGUGAAAUGUUCGGAUCGGCCGUUUGUCGCGGUUUCCGCGUCAUGCGGCUGAGAAGUUCAUUAAACCCUCCCACCUAGAGGAAGGAGAAGUCGUAACA
RNAcentral lists this ribosomal RNA (329 nucleotides) under uncultured eukaryote. Its description in RNAcentral is "partial 18S ribosomal RNA". It matches the Rfam family "Eukaryotic small subunit ribosomal RNA", at positions 1470 to 1796 of the family's 1831-position model. The record is from RNAcentral.